This 737-nucleotide ribosomal RNA is filed under the name Acinetobacter baumannii. RNAcentral's name for it is "bacterial SSU rRNA". It matches the Rfam family "Bacterial small subunit ribosomal RNA", at positions 49 to 780 of the family's 1533-position model. Lineage: Bacteria; Pseudomonadati; Pseudomonadota; Gammaproteobacteria; Moraxellales; Moraxellaceae. The record is from RNAcentral.
UUACACAUGCAAGUCGAGCGGGGGAAGGUAGCUUGCUACCGGACCUAGCGGCGGACGGGUGAGUAAUGCUUAGGAAUCUGCCUAUUAGUGGGGGACAACAUCUCGAAAGGGAUGCUAAUACCGCAUACGUCCUACGGGAGAAAGCAGGGGAUCUUCGGACCUUGCGCUAAUAGAUGAGCCUAAGUCGGAUUAGCUAGUUGGUGGGGUAAAGGCCUACCAAGGCGACGAUCUGUAGCGGGUCUGAGAGGAUGAUCCGCCACACUGGGACUGAGACACGGCCCAGACUCCUACGGGAGGCAGCAGUGGGGAAUAUUGGACAAUGGGGGGAACCCUGAUCCAGCCAUGCCGCGUGUGUGAAGAAGGCCUUAUGGUUGUAAAGCACUUUAAGCGAGGAGGAGGCUACUUUAGUUAAUACCUAGAGAUAGUGGACGUUACUCGCAGAAUAAGCACCGGCUAACUCUGUGCCAGCAGCCGCGGUAAUACAGAGGGUGCGAGCGUUAAUCGGAUUUACUGGGCGUAAAGCGUGCGUAGGCGGCUUAUUAAGUCGGAUGUGAAAUCCCCGAGCUUAACUUGGGAAUUGCAUUCGAUACUGGUGAGCUAGAGUAUGGGAGAGGAUGGUAGAAUUCCAGGUGUAGCGGUGAAAUGCGUAGAGAUCUGGAGGAAUACCGAUGGCGAAGGCAGCCAUCUGGCCUAAUACUGACGCUGAGGUACGAAAGCAUGGGGAGCAAACAGGAUAC